RNAcentral lists this ribosomal RNA (515 nucleotides) under Xylica oedematosa. Its description in RNAcentral is "partial 16S ribosomal RNA". The stretch from base 387 to 515 matches the Rfam family "Bacterial large subunit ribosomal RNA", at positions 2473 to 2600 of the family's 2925-position model. The record is from RNAcentral. Lineage: Eukaryota; Metazoa; Arthropoda; Insecta; Phasmatodea; Bacillidae.
AAAACAUCUUUUCUUGUUAUUAAUUUGAAAUAUGGCCUGCCCAAUGAUUUAUUUAAUGGCCGCGGUAAAUUGACCGUGCAAAGGUAGCAUAAUCAUUAGUCUUUUAAUUGAGGACUUGUAUGAAUGGUUUGACAAGAUAUUUACUGUCUCAUAUUAAUUUAUUAUAAUUUAAAUUUUGAGUUAAAAUGCUUAAAUUAUAUUAUAGGACGAGAAGACCCUAUAGAUCUUUAUUUUCUUAAAUUUUUAUUUUAUUUAGUUUAUUUAUUUUUAAUUAUUUAGUUUUUUUGUUGGGGUGACAUUGAGAUAUAAUCAACUCUUUUUAUUUUUAUACAAUUAUUUUUGUUUAUUUGACCUUUUAUUAUUGUUAUAAGAUUAGAUACCUUAGGGAUAACAGCGUAAUUUUUUUUGAGAGUUCAUAUCGACAAAAAUGAUUGCGACCUCGAUGUUGGAUUAAGAUAUUUUUUAGGUGUAGGUACUUAAUUAUUAUAGGUCUGUUCGACCUUUAAAAUCUUACA